AGUGAACGCUGGCGGUAGGCCUAACACAUGCAAGUCGAACGGCAGCACAGGAGAGCUUGCUCUCUGGGUGGCGAGUGGCGGACGGGUGAGGAAUACAUCGGAAUCUACUUUUUCGUGGGGGAUAACGUAGGGAAACUUACGCUAAUACCGCAUACGACCUACGGGUGAAAGCAGGGGACCUUCGGGCCUUGCGCGAUUGAAUGAGCCGAUGUCGGAUUAGCUAGUUGGCGGGGUAAAGGCCCACCAAGGCGACGAUCCGUAGCUGGUCUGAGAGGAUGAUCAGCCACACUGGAACUGAGACACGGUCCAGACUCCUACGGGAGGGAGCAGUAGGGAAUAUUGGACAAUGGGCGCGAGCCUGAUCCAGCCAUACCGCGUGGGUGAAGAAGGCCUUCGGGUUGUAAAGCCCUUUUGUUGGGAAAGAAAUCCAGCUGGCUAAUACCCGGUUGGGAUGACGGUACCCAAAGAAUAAGCACCGGCUAACUUCGUGCCAGCCGCCGCAGUAA
RNAcentral lists this ribosomal RNA (506 nucleotides) under uncultured bacterium. Its description in RNAcentral is "partial 16S ribosomal RNA". It matches the Rfam family "Bacterial small subunit ribosomal RNA", at positions 29 to 523 of the family's 1533-position model. The record is from RNAcentral.